AGUGAAUAGAUACCCAGGUAGUCCCGGCCCUAAACGAUGAAUGCUUGGUGUGGCGGGUAUCGAUCCCUGCCGUGCCGAAAGCUAACGCAUUAAGCAUUCCGCCUGGGGAGUACGGUCGCAAGGCUGAAUCUCAAAGGAAUUGACGGGGGCCCGCACAAGCGGUGGAGCAUGUGGUUUAAUUCGACGCAACGCGAAGAACCUUACCCAGGCUCGAACGGUAGAUGACAUCCUACGAAAGUAGGCUCCCGCAAGGGCAUUUGCCGAGGUGCUGCAUGGCUGUCGUCAGCUCGUGUCGUGAGAUGCUGGGUUAAGUCCCGCAACGAGCGCAACCCUUGUCUUCUGUUGCCAUCGGGUUAUGCCGGGCACUCUGAAGAGACUGCCGGUGACAAACCGGAGGAAGGUGGGGAUGACGUCAAGUCAGCAUGGCCUUUAUGUCUGGGGCCACACACGUGCUACAAUGGCCGGUACAAACCGUCGCGAGCCCGCAAGGGGGAGCUAAUCGGAGAAAACCGGUCUCAGUUCGGAUUGCA
RNAcentral lists this ribosomal RNA (530 nucleotides) under uncultured bacterium. RNAcentral's name for it is "bacterial SSU rRNA". It matches the Rfam family "Bacterial small subunit ribosomal RNA", at positions 773 to 1302 of the family's 1533-position model. The record is from RNAcentral.